CCUACGGGCGGCAGCAGUGAGGAAUAUUGGUCAAUGGACGAGAGUCUGAACCAGCCAAGUAGCGUGAAGGAUGACUGCCCUAUGGGUUGUAAACUUCUUUUAUGUGGGAAUAAAAUGUUCCACGUGUGGGAUUUUGUAUGUACCAUAUGAAUAAGGAUCGGCUAACUCCGUGCCAGCAGCCGCGGUAAUACGGAGGAUCCGAGCGUUAUCCGGAUUUAUUGGGUUUAAAGGGAGCGUAGGUGGAUUGUUAAGUCAGUUGUGAAAGUUUGCGGCUCAACCGUAAAAUUGCAGUUGAAACUGGCAGUCUUGAGUACAGUAGAGGUGGGCGGAAUUCGUGGUGUAGCGGUGAAAUGCUUAGAUAUCACGAAGAACUCCGAUUGCGAAGGCAGUUCACUGGACUGCAACUGACACUGAGGCUCGAAAGUGUGGGUAUCAAACAGGAUUAGAUACCCCAGUAGUC
RNAcentral lists this ribosomal RNA (460 nucleotides) under uncultured bacterium. Its description in RNAcentral is "partial 16S ribosomal RNA". It matches the Rfam family "Bacterial small subunit ribosomal RNA", at positions 338 to 795 of the family's 1533-position model. The record is from RNAcentral.